Molecule: long non-coding RNA, 7016 nt
Filed under: Sus scrofa (pig)
Lineage: Eukaryota; Metazoa; Chordata; Mammalia; Artiodactyla; Suidae
Description: lncRNA (ENSSSCG00000056025.1)
Source: RNAcentral
AUGUGUGAACUUUUAACACCUUAUGCUUUCUUUUGGGACUAUAAAAAUUCCUGGAAGAAUAAUUUAUUUAUAUCACUGUUGGAGAGAAGUGGUAGGAUUUGGUGGAAUCUCUGCUGAUAAUUUUAUGCAAGAUUCUAGAGGGCAGAGUAGGUCAGCAUCCUAGAGAGAAUGGCAUCUACUUAAGGCCCACUGCUUGGGUUAAUUUAUAAGGAGAAAGAAUUGUAUGGCCUUACCAGCAGUGGAAAUACUUGAGAUCUCAUACAGAACCAAACCUUCAACUAUUAAGGAAUUUGAGGCCAGGACAGUCAAUGACUUGUCCGAGGCCACCAAGGCAAACUCGCUGGGCCACGGCUGGUAUAUAUGUAGGUCUCUGGCCCUACUCCUUGGUUUUGCAUGUUCUGCUUCUUGAUUUCACCAAAUUUGCUUAUUCUGGAAAGGGAGAAAAUCUCUCUUAAUCUGUUUCUGAAAUAAAAUUUUCUUUGCCAUUUGCAACACUCCAGAGAAUAGAAACAUAACAAAAUCGUUGUUUUUCAUUAGUACUUCCAUUUCCAGCCAUCUUGGCAAUCAAUCAGAACUUUUAUCUUCUUGCCUGAAGAGACAAGGACAUUUAAUUCACAACAAUUUCCUUUUUCCUUUCUCUCAGUGACUCUAUUAAAUAAAACAUGAUGGAUCACACUCUAUAUUUGCAUGCCAGCUAAAACAGGGGCAGAGCUCUGCUAGAACAGAGAGGAUCCUGCCCUUGCCUAAACCUGAUGCAGGUGAAGUGGAGGUUGGUGCUGGGAAAUGCUUAAAGUUUGUACAUGUGAACAUUUUUCUCUCAAGGAAAGGGGCACCAUUAAUAGUCAGAAUGAGAACUGGAAGCUGUGCUAAAAAUUAAUAAGUAAAUUCCAGUCAGCAAAGAUUGUAGUCCUGUAUAACUGAGGCUAAUUCUUAUUUUAUUUUUUAUUUUUAUUAUAGCUGAUUUACAAUGUUCUGUCAAUUUCUGCUGUACAGCAAAAUGACCCAGUCAUACAUGUAUAUAUAGACACAUAUUCUUUUUCUCACAUUAUCCUCCAUCAUGUUUCAUCACAAGUGAUUGGAUCUAGUUCCCUGUGCUAUACAGCAGGAUCUCAUUGUUUAUCUACUCCAAAUGCAAUACAAUAGUUUGCAUCUAAUCCCAAACACCCAAUCCAUCCCACUCCCUCCCCCUCCCCCUUGGAAACCACAAGUCUGUUUUCCAAGUCCAUGAGUUUGUUUCUUUUCUGUAGUUAGGUCCAUUUGUGCUAGGCUAAUUUUUUAAAUAGCACUUGAAUUUUAGAGAACUGAGCUGGGGGAUAAUCUGGUGAAAUAUUCCUGUUUCUAGACUGGUCCUUUCAGUUAAUUGCCUCUUUCUCAUAACAGAACAGAGAGUUUUUUUUUUUUUUGAAUCUCUGCAUUUAUAGAGACGAUUCAUCUUUCUUCUUCUCCAAAGUGCUCAAGAAUGCUUGUCUUAUAUGUAUUUUAGAGUAUCGCAGUGUGCCUUGCUGUCUUUUGCAUAUGGAGCUAUUGAUGGUAGUGUUGACAGGACCACAAGGGCACUGCUCAGUCCAGCCAGAUGGUUUUGUGCAGACAGAGGAUGAUGUUUUUAUUUUGACAGAAUUUCUGGUUUGCUUCAAAUCAAGGUUAAAUAGUAAGGUGUUGACUUGAAGGCAGGAUUCCUGCCUCUUAGUGAGAAAUCUCUUUUUGUUCAUUUAUGUGGUCAUUUAAGAAAUCUUAUUUUGUGCUGGGAGUGUAAAGGUACUCAAAAUGCAGUCACAUCCCACAAGAAAUCUACAGGCUGCUGAGGGAUGAUAGAUAAAUUAACAAUAAUAAUACAAUGCACCAUUAUGUACGAAAGCUCCGUUAUGGAGUGUGUAUCAGAUUCUGUGUGAGCAUGUAGGAGAGGUUCAUAAUGCAAUUUAAAGGAUUUAGGGAAAUCUAAAUUGCAACCUGAAGGAUGGACUGGAGUUGACAUAGUGAAGGAGAUGGGGAACUAGGCAGAGGGAAUACAUCUGAAGUGAGAGAGCAUGGCCCAUUCAUGGAAAAUGUGCUAUUUAUAUACAGAAUGACCAUUAAUGACAGUGAUGUGAGAAGAAGCUGAAAAGAGAAAUGUUUUAGGCUUCAUAAGCCAUGUUAAAUAUUUUGAACUUGCUGCUUAUUACAAUGGGAAGAUGUUGAACGAUUACCAGAAUGUAAAUGACAAAAAUAACGUUUUGGCUACAAAACAAUUACUUAGGUUAGAGUAUGGAUGGUAAUUAGAUAAAGUGAAGAGAAUAGACACCACUCCUGCUACAGCCUGGAAUCUCUGUCUACAAAGUCUUUUGUCACAAUUUGAUCAGAAAGGAACUUAUUUGGCAAAUGAGCAAAUGCUGGAAUUUCUACUGACUUGGUAACUAAAUUUCAUAGUCUUUCCAGGUUCCAAAAGUAGGAUUCUCUAGUGUGGCCCUCCCAGUGCGGCAAGGUUGUUGCCCAUCAGCAUGGCAUACUUACCAUGUCUUAACUUGCAGGUGUUUUGCCUCUUCUGUCAGGGAGUCUGCAACUUUUCCUAAGUCUUAAAUGCCCCCUACAUUCUGCUGGUGAUCACAGUUCUGGUAGCAACACUCACAGCUCUAGCAAUAAGCUUCCUCAUCCGAGGUUUCCUGAGAGGACUCUGUCUCUCACAGUGUCAGUUUCUAAGUUCUUGAGAUUCAUAUAGGAGUCAUCUAGCACAGGACUUUCCCCCUCUUUUGACAUUCUCUAUUAUUUGCUUCUUACUCAGAGUCCUUGAUUUUUUUUUUUUUUUCUUUUCAGGGCCACACCCGCAGCAUAUGGAAGUUCCCACGCUAGGGGUUGAAUCAGAGCUACAGCUGCUGGCCUACACCACAGCCACAGCAACACAGGAUCUGAGCCACCUCUUUGGCCUACACCACAGCUCACAGCAAUUCUGGAUUCUUAACCCACUGAGCAAGGCCAGGGAUUGAACCUGCAUUCUCAUGGAUACUAGUUGGGUUUGUUACCGCCAAGUCACAGCAGGAACUCCCAGAGUCCUUAAUUUUAAUUCACUAUCCACUUGGGGAGAAGGCCUUCAAUGACUUUUCAAAGACUGGUCAUCCUUUUCCAAAGGUGCAUGACUCUGUACCAUGGGGUCCACUGAUCCACCUAUGCCCUCCGCAUGACUGGCUAUGCUAUUAUCUCAUGAAAACGUCAGUCUGGCAUUAAUCCACCUGGAUACCAGAAACAACCCCAAAUGUGCCCUAUUGUCUCUAAGGAAAUCCUUUGGGCAGAGCCAUUCUAGGAUCCCAUACCUGUUUCCCAGAACCUAUAACAUUUGUUUGGCUCACCUUUCCUGAACUGAAUUAAACUUUCAAAGAAGCAAAUGGCUCAAAAUCUCCACGUGUAGCUUGCCCCUUGCAAACGUGUCCCAAAUGCUGGUAGUGCAGUGUUGUGGGUUGGGAGGAGGCCUACUAUUGGGCCCUAGGCCGAUGGGGGCCCAUCAAGGUGAAGGUGAUGGAUGCAUUUGCACACGGAGGCAGUUAUUUUAAUAAGGAUGAUCUGAGUUAGCUCAGAAUAACCAGCUGCCUGUCUCCACAGGGAGCACCGUUUGACAUAAAUGAAGACAAGGACAGUGAUGGAGUCUGAAAGGGAGUUAAUUGAAAAGGAGUAGCCUGCUCUGAUCUGCAGAUUGAGCUCCUUAGGAGGAUUCCAGGAAGCCAGAGUGAGUCAAAUGAUUUUACAGACAGGAAUUUCCCUGGGAGACACAGACACCACAACUCAAUUGACCUCAUAUCAGGAAAAGGCCAACAUCACAGCAGCUCAAAGGGUGUUAGUUUCCCAGGGAUGCAUCUUCUAAUUGCAGUGUUCAUUAAAAUGAUGCCUUUUUUUUUUUCUUUUAGCCUUAGACAAGCUUUUAAAAAAUAUCAAAGGAAAGGAGAAUGAAAGAAUGGGGUGUUAAGUGUUUGACCCUUUUUCAUCUUCUAGCCAAAUGUCUCAGCCUUUGGGUUGCAAGAUAAAAGAAGUGUGAUUGAGGACCUAUUUCUCUGUGAAUUCCUCUGAGAAUCAAGAAUUAAUAAGCAUCUGUGCAAGAAGAGCCAGUAUUGAUUUUAUCUGCAUACCAUGUAUUCUCUACUAUGUAAUUCAAAGCUCUGCUCCAAUAUCUUUUUCAGAUAAGCUGUGUAGGACCCACCACCCUAUCUACAUCAGUGCCCUCAUCAUUCUCUAUCAAUAAUUACCCAGAGGAGUCCCCGUCAUGGCAGAGUGGUUAAUAAACCUGACUGGUAUCCAUGAGGAUGCGACUUUCGUCUCUGGCCUUGCUCAGUGGGUUAAGGAUCCAGCAUUGCUGUGAGCUGUGGUAUAGGUUGCAGGCAGAGCUCGGAUCCCGCAUUGCUGCGGCUAUGGCGUAUGCCAGUGGCUACAGCUCCGAUUCCACCCCCAGCAUGCGAACUUCCAUAUGCCGUGGGUGUGGCCCUAAAAAGACCAAAAAAAAAAAAAAAUUACCGUGAGGCAUUUUUCUUUAUGGUAUUUAUUAUGAUAUUAUAUUACAUUCUAUCAGUUUUUCUUUCUAACCUGUGACCUCCACGAAGAUAGGAACUUUGUUCAGUUCACUGCUGUUAUCUUCAGUACCUAGAAUAGUGCUUGGCAUGGUUGAAAUGAAUAACCAAAGUACCCUGGGCAAGAGUUUUCAUGUUUCUUUCUAGUAUGCUAUAUUCACUUUUUCCUUCGUUUGGAAAGCUAUUUCAUUUUAGAUUUUGAAGUUCUUUUAUGAUGAAACAAUAAUAACAAAGAGAUAAAAGUACCACUAAUAAUAAACAACAGAACAGCUAGUCAUAAUGGGGGAAGGAACACCAAAAAUUAAUAGCUGAAGAAAUAAAGCAUCAUAGAAAUGUGCAGCCUGAGUAUAAGUGUCCUGUAAAAAUAAGUUGGGUGAAGUGAACUGUUUAAGAGCUGUAGCAUAAAUUUUAUCAUAGAGUUAGUUUGUAUAUGUGAUUCUGAUAGAGCGAUCAACUCUGAUGAAUGAACUCUGAUGAAUGAACUCAUGCAUUUUUUAAUUGAAAAUUUGAAGAUAAUUAUAGAUUCAUAUACAGUUGAAAGAAUUAGAAAAGAGAGACCCUGGGAGCCCCAGUGCCAGCAGAGCUGGCCCAGUAGCAUCUAUCUUUUUUGUUUGUUUUUAAGUUUUAUUGAAGUAUAGUUAAUUUACAAGAUUGUGAUAAUUUCUGCUGUAUGACAAGUGACCCAGCCGUACAUAUACACAUACCCAUUCUCUCUCAGAUUCUGCAUAGAUCUCCACAGAAUAUUGGGUUGAGUUCUCUGUGCUAUACAGCAGGUCCCCAUUGGCCAAUCAUUCCAUGUACCUCAAUGUGCAUAUGUCAAUCCCAAACCCCCAGGCCAUCCAUCCCUCCUACCCCAGUACCACCUAUCUUUAAGUUCAGUGAGCCACAAUGUUGAUUUUAAGAAAUGAAACGAUGAGAGUUCUGAUAUUAGAUGGCAUCAUUGGAGACUCCAGGACUCACCUCCUCCCACGGACCUGAAAUCUACAGCUCUACAAGGAACUAUUCCUCUAAAAGAAAUCCAGAAACUGUCUGAGCAACUCCUAUACAUCGUGAAUGAGGAAAUAUUACAUCCAUAUGGAUAGGAAAGGCUGAUAUGUACUCUUGCUGUAAACCCUGCCUCUGGCACAGUGAACUACAAUUAGGUGGGAACUUACAACUCCCAGCUUCUCCCUGAGGAAUGGAAGGAUUGACCCCUUUUGGCACUGCAACUUUUAAGACUGUCCCCUGUGAGAUGGGUUCCCCAGCUCAAAUGCCAUUGGGACUUGGCAUCUAGGAGGCUCAUAGGACCGCAGUAAGAAAAGAGUUUGUAAAGGACUCACGGUAACUAUCCACCUCCCCCACCCUAGGAAUCAGCACAGCUGGAGCUGACCAGAAAACUCAUCUCUGCCUAUCCUGAAAGAGGCCUCCUCUUACUUCAAAAGCUGCUGCCCAGAGGGUGGGGCUUCUAAUGUAGCACACCUGUAGGGGUGACUGAGCUCCUUCCCAGAGACCAAGGAGGCUGGUGUGUGAGCACCGUCUCCGUGGUCUCUCUCUGGCCUGCUCCAGGAUGCUGGUGUCUCCACUGCAUUUGCUGGAAUAUUUCCAUUGAGGUGUCAACCUGCCCUUCAGAAAGGUUUGGAAAUUAUUUUAUUCUCUCUUUAGCAAUGAAGGAGAAUGGAGGUGCUCCUCAUCCUUGCAACACUGGCUGUUUUUUUUUUUUUUUUUUUUAAAUCUAUGCUCACUGGUCAUUUUCUUUUUAAUAUGAUGGUAGGUAUUUGUCUCUUUGUUUUGGACCAGUGGUUCUGCACUCUGGCAGCAUGUGGAUCUCCUGGUGAGCUUUGAAAUAAUCCUUGAGUCCCAAACCUAGCUGACUGAAUUACUCCCCAGGCACUUCUAAUAUUCAGCCAUGAUUGACAGCUACUGUUUGGGGCUAGGAGGGUAGCUAAUGCGAGAACAAAGUGCUGAGAUGUUGAUUUGGUAUAGGAGCUCAGAGUAAAGCAUGAAAUCGUAUCAGAACAACCACCCAAAUAGCCAAAUCAUCUGAUAAAUAUUAUUUAAUGAGCUCUACAGCUAAUCAAGGCUCGCUAUAUUUCCAGUGAAAUUGUUUCAAAGUAGUGUUAGAAAGCCAGGGAGCUUGGACAAUGCAGCUUGGGUGCAAAGUCCUGAGUCUCUGCUUAGAGUCACAAGCUUAAUGAGCAUCUGAAUUAUCAGGAAUAGAGGCGUGGCUUCUUGGCAAACUAUGCAUAUUGUGUGUAUGUGUAUGAAUGUGUGUGACUUAAACUUUUUAUUUUGAGAUAAUUGUAGACUCCCCUGCUGCUAUAAGAAAUAGAUCUCACAUACCCUUUUUCACCCCAGACUGUAGGGCAUGGGCAUAGACACAGUCCAGAUGCAGAACAUUCCCCCAUCAGUGGAAUCCCCCAUGAUGCUGUUCUUCAGCCACACCUACUUCCCUCCUAAGCCCGCUCCUUCCUCAACUCCUGGCCACCGCUAAGCUGAUCUAUUUUUCUAAUUUUA